RNAcentral lists this ribosomal RNA (253 nucleotides) under uncultured bacterium. RNAcentral describes it as "partial 16S ribosomal RNA". It matches the Rfam family "Bacterial small subunit ribosomal RNA", at positions 524 to 776 of the family's 1533-position model. The record is from RNAcentral.
UACAGAGGUCUCGAGCGUUAGGCGGAAUCACUGGGCUUAAAGCGUGUGUAGGUGGAUGCCUAAGUACCUUGUGAAAUCCCACAGCUUAACUGUGGAACUGCUUGGUAUACUGGGUGUCUUGAAUCACUCAGGGGCGAGCGGAACAAAUGGUGGAGCGGUGAAAUGCGUAGAUAUCAUUUGGAACGCCAAUGGUGAAAACAGCUCGCUGGGGGUGCACUGACACUGAGACACGAAAGCCAGGGGAGCGAACGGG